UACCAGCUCUCCGAGUGGUAGGGAUGAUUAUUGGGCUUAAAGCGUCCGUAGCCGGCUUAGCAAGUCUCCUGUUAAAUUCAGCGACCUAAUCGUUGAGCCGCGGGAGAUACUACUAGGCUAGGAGGCGGGAGAGGUCAACGGUACUUCCGGGGUAGGGGUGAAAUCCUAUAAUCCCGGGAGGACCACCAGUGGCGAAGGCUGUUGACUAGAACGCGCUCGACGGUGAGGGACGAAAGCUGGGGGAGCGAACCGGAUUAGAUACCCGGGUAGUCCCAGCUGUAAACGAUGCGAGCUAGGUGUUGGGGUGGCUACGUGCCACUUCAGUGCCGCAGGGAAGCCAUUAAGCUCGCCGCCUGGGGAGUACGGCCGCAAGGCUGAAACUUAAAGGAAUUGGGCGGGGGAGCGCCACAAGGCGUGAAGCUUGCGGUUC
This 430-nucleotide ribosomal RNA is filed under the name uncultured archaeon. RNAcentral's name for it is "bacterial SSU rRNA". It matches the Rfam family "Archaeal small subunit ribosomal RNA", at positions 474 to 903 of the family's 1478-position model. The record is from RNAcentral.